AGUCCCGAGGUGUUACAUGCCGGAUUGCAAAUCCGGAGUUGUAGGUUAUUCCCUACCGGGGCUU
This 64-nucleotide transfer RNA is filed under the name Neobathyclupea argentea (West Atlantic deep-sea herring). RNAcentral's name for it is "tRNA-Cys". The record is from RNAcentral. RNAcentral also lists the same sequence under 1 other name. Lineage: Eukaryota; Metazoa; Chordata; Actinopteri; Acropomatiformes; Bathyclupeidae.